This is a long non-coding RNA of Mirounga angustirostris (Northern elephant seal), 1111 nucleotides long. RefSeq lists it as uncharacterized. The transcript has 3 exons. The record is from RefSeq and is a predicted model, not a curated record. Lineage: Eukaryota; Metazoa; Chordata; Mammalia; Carnivora; Phocidae.
CAACCACAGAACCACAAGUUGGGUAGGCUGACAGUGGCAGAAAACUGCGCCCGGCAUAGUGGUCAGCAAGCAGGACGAAUCACACUGACUGCAAACCACAGGGUUUCGCAGAGUGGUGAGCAUCACCAACCCACAGCCAAGACGCCGCUUUUUUUUUUUUUUAAUCUUGAACAAUUUGAAUAUUUGUUUUCUCAAAGGUGAAAGAAAUCAUUGAAUCCCCCGCCUUCAGAAGAGGGUGCAUUUUCAGGAGGAAGCGAUGGCUUCAGACAGCAUAUUUGAGUCAUUUCCUUCAUACCCACAGUGCUUCAUGAGAGAUUAAGUGUGUGGACUGGGCUUGUGUAUCCAGAGCAAGGACUGCAAGAGGAGGCGAGUUUCUAUUGUUUCACAUCAGAUUGAUGUCGAAGUCAAGGAACUCAAAACCUGCUCCCCAAGGAAUGCACAACUUUCUCAUAUUGAGACCCUCAGCUGCUCCUGAUCUUAACAGGGGUCUUUCCACAAACUCUUCAUCUUCCUCUUUGAUAUUUUACCCUCUUAAUCAUUUUAAGUCAACAAUCCGUGACUGACGGUUUUGCUGAUAAAGUACCUUUAUAAUGAUAGACUGGGUACUUAAACUUCCGCCUACAUCUUCUCUAAGUUGGUGACCUAAUUGUAGCUGAUUCUUCCAAUAGAAAUACUCACUUGUUAACCUCAAGUGAUUUCUGGGCAUGGCUGAAAUAAAACAAAUUGCUUUUUAAAGUUACGAUUCCAGAUACUGUGUCUUAUUUUCCAUUGCUUCUUGUCCAUUUUUCCAUGUAGGUUUUAUCUGCUACUUAUAAACCAUGAAAAACAAAUUAUUCCGUUCAAAUCUUUGGAAAGGGCUGUUCACUGGCACAAAAUCGCCUUGUCUGAUACUUUUUCUCGUUUUGGAUUUCUGGAAGGGAAAUCCUCCUUAUGAGGAGACUUAACUUUCCAUCAGUAAUGGGGAAAACUGCUUCUCUCGGGAUAGUGGAGGUAGCUUUAUAGCAGAAAACUCAGCAGAAAUAAAAAUCCACAUAACUUAACGUCUAUCCAAGUCUGUUUCUUUAGUGAUAUUGAUCCCUCUUCUGCCUGUGACACAGGAAAAAAUGAAGGG